CCUGGUUGAUCCUGCCAGUAGCACAUUCCUGUCUCAAGGAUCAAGUCAUGGACAUGUAUGUAUACAUGAAUGGCACUGUGAAACUGCGAAUGGACAAUCAAAUCAGUAAUGGUUCCUUAGUUCACCCCAUCUGUCACUUGGAAAACUGAGGUAUUUGCAGGGACAAUACAUGCCCAUGAGCGUUGACUUCCUGGGAUGAAUGCAUCAAUCAGACCAAGACCAAUCAGCGGUCACCUGGCUGCUAUUGUGACUGUAGACAACCUGAGGGUGAUUGUGCAUCCCUGUGAUGGCAACCAUACAGUUGGAUGUCUGCCCUAUCAACUUUGAAUUCCAGUGUCUGUCCCGACAAUGGUAACCACAGGUAAUGGGGAAUCGGGGUUAAAAACUGUAGAGGGCACCUGAGAAGCAGCUACCAAGUCCAAGGAAGGCAGCAGAUGCAUACAUUACCCACUCCUGACUGUGGGAGAUUGUGACACAAAUAACAAUACAGUAAUUGGAAUGAGUGUGCAAUAAAUCCAUUAACAAGGAUCCAUCGGAGGGCAAGUCUGGUGUCAGUAUUUGCCAUAAUUUCAGUUCAAAUAGCAUAUCUUAAACAUGCUGCAUUUGAAAUAAAUACAUGGAGUUGGAUCUUGGGAUCAAGCUGGGGGUGUUCUGUGAAGUGAGCAACUGUUUAUCCCCACCCAGCCUCUCAGUGUCCCCUUGAUUCACUUCACUGAGUAUCCUGGGGUCCAAAGCGUUUACUAAAUCACCUGAAUAACUAAGUCCGGAUUAAUUGAAUAUGACUCUGCUUCUAUUGUCUUGGUUGGUGGAAGGGUUUCCAUGAUGAAGAGGGACAGUUGGGGGCCUUCAAAAUGUGCUUCUAGAGUUGUAACUCUUGGAAUGGGGCAAGAUGAUCCAAAGUGCAAACAUGUAUAAUGUAUAAUUUAUAAUUUGCCAAGAAUGUAUUUAUCAAACCAGAAUGAAAGUCUGAAGUUUGAAGACGGUCAGAUACCGUCACAGGUCCGACCAUAAAUGAUGCUGACUAGCUAUCUGGUGGCGCUAUUCCCAUUACCCACUGAGGGGCUUCUGGGAAAGCAUAGUCUCAGUGUUCUGGGCUGAGUAUAUUUGCAAAGCAGAAACAUAAAGGAAUCGAUGGAAAGGCACCCAAGGAGUGGAGCCUGUGGCUGGAAUUGACUCAACAUGGGAAACCUCACCCAGAAAGGAUUGUCAUAUUGAUGUCUCUGUGUCUAUUUUGUGGGUGUAGGUGCAUGGCCAUUCAUAGUUGGCCAUAGCAAUUUGUGUGGUCAAUUCUGAUAAUGAACAAGACUCCACCAUGCCCACUAGUCAUGUGACUGCCAGUGGUUGGUGUUCAACUUCUUAGAGGGACAAGUCGUGUUCAGCCACACACGUUCAAGCAAGAGCAGGGCUGUGAAGCCCUUAGAUGUCUGUGCAUGCACAUGUGCCACACUGAAUGGAUUGCUGUGUGUCUACCCUUUGCUGACACUUGCAGGAAACCUGCUGAACCCUGCGUAUGAUAGGGAUUGGGGAUAGCAAUCUACUCACACGAACUAGGAAUUCCCAGCAAGGGCGGGUAAUAAUCUUGUGUUGAUGAAGUUCAUGCACUUUGUACAAACUGCCUGUUUCAACUACCGAUUGGAUGGUUCAAUGAGGUCCUCGGAUUGGCCCCUGCCAGGGUCAGCAGUGUCCCUGGUGGUGCACAGAGAAGAUGAUCAAACAUGGCUAUCUAGAGAGAGUGUCAGUCAUAACAAGUGUAGAGGAAGUCCCAAAUAAAG
Molecule: ribosomal RNA, 1772 nt
Filed under: Ambystoma mexicanum (axolotl)
Lineage: Eukaryota; Metazoa; Chordata; Amphibia; Caudata; Ambystomatidae
Description: SSU rRNA
Rfam family: Eukaryotic small subunit ribosomal RNA
Source: RNAcentral